AACGCACCUUGCACCCUUUGGUAUGCCAAAGGGUACACCCGUUUGAGUGUCAUUGUAAUCUCACUACGAUUGACUUUGUCGUCUUUCUGUAUGUGGACUUGGAUGUUGUCGUGGAUAUCCACGACUCGUCUGAAAUGCUUGAGUGUACCCUGCUUUGCGGCGUAUUCGGUGUGAUACAUCUUCACCGGAGUUGAUCCUUUUGGGUCGCGUCUAUACAAGUGUGGCUCUAUGCUUCCAACCGUCUUCCAGGAGACAAUGUUUGACAAUUUGACCUCAAAUCGGGUGGGACUACCCGCUGAACUUAA
This 305-nucleotide unclassified non-coding RNA is filed under the name uncultured fungus. RNAcentral's name for it is "partial contains 5.8S ribosomal RNA, internal transcribed spacer 2, and large subunit ribosomal RNA". Lineage: Eukaryota; Fungi. RNAcentral also lists the same sequence under 1 other name. The record is from RNAcentral.